This 120-nucleotide ribosomal RNA is filed under the name Colletotrichum chlorophyti. Lineage: Eukaryota; Fungi; Ascomycota; Sordariomycetes; Glomerellales; Glomerellaceae. The record is from RNAcentral.
ACAUACGACCAUACCUACUGGAGAACUCGGGAUCCCGUCCGCUCUCCCAUAGAUAAGCCAGUGAGGGCCGGAUUAGUAGUUGGGUCGGUGACGACCAGCGAAUACCUGGUGUUGUAUGUC